UAGGGAAUCUUCGGCAAUGGGGGGAACCCUGACCGAGCAACGCCGCGUGAGUGAAGAAGGAUUUCGGUUCGUAAAACUCUGUUGUUAGAGAAGAACAGCGCAUAGAGUAACUGUUAUGCGUGUGACGGUAUCUAACCAGAAAGCCACGGCUAACUACGUGCCAGCAGCCGCGGUAAUACGUAGGUGGCAAGCGUUGUCCGGAUUUAUUGGGCGUAAAGCGAGCGCAGGCGGUCAAUUAAGUCUGAUGUGAAAGCCCCCGGCUCAACCGGGGAGGGUCAUUUGAAACUGGUUGACUUGAGUGCAGAAGGGGAGAGUGGAAUUCCAUGUGUAGCGGUGAAAUGCGUAGAUAUAUGGAGGAACACCGGUGGCGAAAGCGGCUCUCUGGUCUGUAACUGACGCUGAGGCUCGAAAGCGUGGGGAGCGAACAGG
This 429-nucleotide ribosomal RNA is filed under the name Bacteroidota bacterium. RNAcentral's name for it is "Bacteroidetes bacterium partial 16S ribosomal RNA". It matches the Rfam family "Bacterial small subunit ribosomal RNA", at positions 355 to 776 of the family's 1533-position model. Lineage: Bacteria; Pseudomonadati; Bacteroidota. The record is from RNAcentral.